Molecule: ribosomal RNA, 254 nt
Filed under: uncultured bacterium
Lineage: Bacteria
Description: partial 16S ribosomal RNA
Rfam family: Bacterial small subunit ribosomal RNA
Source: RNAcentral
UACGGGGGGGGCAAGCGUUGUUCGGAAUUACUGGGCGUAAAGGGCGCGUAGGCGGCAAUUCAAGUCAUCUGUGAAAUCUCCGGGCUUAACCCGGAACGGUCAGAUGAUACUGCUUUGCUAGAGUGCGGAAGGGGCAAUCGGAAUUCUUGGUGUAGCGGUGAAAUGCGUAGAUAUCAAGAGGAACACCUGAGGUGAAGACGGGUUGCUGGGCCGACACUGACGCUGAUAGCGCGAAAGCCAGGGGAGCAAACAGG